CUUUAUUUUACUGCACCUGCGCACCUAAUCGCUUACCUUUCAACCGAUCUCUCUUUCCUCGUUCACUCAUUCAAUUUUAUUUACACGUGGCCUUCUCCUGAUUAUGCGUGGCCCAAAAUUGACGUGAACGGAACUAAAAAUUAAAUUAAAUUCCAUUCAAUUUGGACAAACCGAAAUAUAAAAUCGCAUCACGAGCGGCGAUUGAAAACCGGUGUGAUACGAAGUUACAACAGAAAAGAAUUGCGGUGGCCGUCGGGAUCCGGCGAGGCUCGUCGGAUUUU
RNAcentral lists this unclassified non-coding RNA (281 nucleotides) under Hevea brasiliensis (rubber tree). Lineage: Eukaryota; Viridiplantae; Streptophyta; Magnoliopsida; Malpighiales; Euphorbiaceae. The record is from RNAcentral.